UACGUAGGGUGCAAGCGUUGUCCGGAAUUAUUGGGCGUAAAGCGCGCGUAGGCGGCCUGGUAAGUCCGCUGUGAAAGUCAAAGGCUCAACCUUUGAAUGUCAGCGGAUACUGCCAGGCUAGAGUCCGGAAGAGGCGAGUGGAAUUCCUGGUGUAGCGGUGGAAUGCGCAGAUAUCAGGAGGAACACCAACGGCGAAGGCAGCUCGCUGGGACGGUACUGACGCUGAGGAGCGAAAGCGUGGGGAGCGAACAGG
This 253-nucleotide ribosomal RNA is filed under the name uncultured bacterium. Its description in RNAcentral is "partial 16S ribosomal RNA". It matches the Rfam family "Bacterial small subunit ribosomal RNA", at positions 524 to 776 of the family's 1533-position model. The record is from RNAcentral.